GGAAAGGCGCGCGAUACAGGGUGACAGCCCCGUACACAAAAAUGCACAUGCUGUGAGCUCGAUGAGUAGGGCGGGACACGUGGUAUCCUGUCUGAAUAUGGGGGGACCAUCCUCCAAGGCUAAAUACUCCUGACUGACCGAUAGUGAACCAGUACCGUGAGGGAAAGGCGAAAAGAACCCCGGCGAGGGGAGUGAAAAAGAACCUGAAACCGUGUACGUACAAGCAGUGGGAGCACGCUUAGGCGUGUGACUGCGUACCUUUUGUAUAAUGGGUCAGCGACUUAUAUUCUGUAGCAAGGUUAACCGAAUAGGGGAGCCGAAGGGAAACCGAGUCUUAACUGGGCGUUAAGUUGCAGGGUAUAGACCCGAAACCCGGUGAUCUAGCCAUGGGCAGGUUGAAGGUUGGGUAACACUAACUGGAGGACCGA
RNAcentral lists this ribosomal RNA (428 nucleotides) under Escherichia coli. RNAcentral's name for it is "partial 23S ribosomal RNA". It matches the Rfam family "Bacterial large subunit ribosomal RNA", at positions 344 to 777 of the family's 2925-position model. The record is from RNAcentral. Lineage: Bacteria; Pseudomonadati; Pseudomonadota; Gammaproteobacteria; Enterobacterales; Enterobacteriaceae.